GGUUGUAAAAUUCUUUCACUGAUGAGGAUAAUGACUGUAAUCAGAGAAGAAGCCCCGGCUAACUUCGUGCCAGCAGCCGCGGUAAUACGAAGGGGGCGAGCGUUAUUCGGAAUGAUUGGGCGUAAAGAGUUCGUAGGCUGUAAUUGUGGUUAUUAGUAAAAUACUUAGUUUAUUGCUUAGAAAUGCUUAUAAAACUCUUUUACUUGAGUGUGGUAGAGGAUAACAGAAUUUCAUGCAUAGGAGUAAAAUCCAAUAAUUCAUGAAGGAAUGUCAGUGGCGAAGGCGGUCAUCUGGACCAUUACUGACGCUGAGGAACGAAAGCGUGGGGAGCAAACAGGAUUAGAUACCCUGGUAGUCCACGCUGUCAAAGAU
This 372-nucleotide ribosomal RNA is filed under the name uncultured bacterium. RNAcentral's name for it is "bacterial SSU rRNA". It matches the Rfam family "Bacterial small subunit ribosomal RNA", at positions 421 to 810 of the family's 1533-position model. The record is from RNAcentral.